GGUAAAUAACCGUAAACCUAUUAUCUCCUUAUUGUUACCCUUCGACCAUUUACAUAACGUUUGUACGAAGAGGGGGGACCAUUACUCUGAGCAUCUCUUGGUUGUAGGGAUCUUAGUGACAAUCAUUUUAUUUAUGUCCUUAUUUUGUCCUCCUUCGUAGAGUGGUUGUUGGGAAGGGGGAGAACUAUGCCUCAUACCUGUGUGGUGAUGUUAGGAAAGCCCUGUCCAG
Non-coding RNA from Pelobates cultripes (western spadefoot toad), 229 nucleotides. The record is from the annotation of a GenBank genome assembly. Lineage: Eukaryota; Metazoa; Chordata; Amphibia; Anura; Pelobatidae.